RNAcentral lists this long non-coding RNA (502 nucleotides) under Gallus gallus (chicken). RNAcentral's name for it is "lncRNA (ENSGALG00010004106.1)". The record is from RNAcentral. Lineage: Eukaryota; Metazoa; Chordata; Aves; Galliformes; Phasianidae.
UGAUCUUUGGAAAUCAAUCCAGGGAAACUCUUAGCAUGGGUUCUUACGUUGAAAAUUCCAGUAUGUUGCACCCCAUGGCCUUGAAGCAAGAUAGCUUUACCAUCGAUGACAGGGUCUUUUCAUCAAUAUAAAGAGGGUGGAGAUGGUUCUACUUAACGGCUUUCUUCGUGAGAAUAUGGAAGAGUUUCAUGAGCUUGACACGUUCUGACAGGUUGGGUGCUUGAAAAUGUUAACUUGAAGUUCUAAUAUAAAGGUAAGUUAUAAAUCUUUUCAAACAACUUCCAGCAGGGCUAGGAUUUCCAGCAUACUAAUUGGUGUGUGGAAACCUACCUAUCUGUUUUAAGAUGGUUUUUGUUACUUUACAUUAAGCUAACAUUUCAUUAAAGAUAUCUAUAAUGCAAGCUAACUUAGUAUCCAGUAUGUUUUGCCAUAUGAUUAACAAAUGGAAGUUGGUUAUAGAAGUCAAAAAGCAAUUUAAAUCUGAUGGAAAACUACUACUUAU